UAAUAUCGGAUAACGCACAUGUGCUGGAAUGCUUUAUGCGUAAAACGGAUUCGUCCGCCCAAGGAUGGGUCUGCGGCCUAUCAGGUAGUAGUGGGUGUAAUGUACCUACUAGCCAACAACGGGUACGGGUUGUGAGAGCAAGAGCCCGGAGAUGGAUUCUGAGACAUGAAUCCAGGCCCUACGGGGCGUAGCAGGCGCGAAAACUUUACAAUGCGGGAAACCGUGAUAAGGGAACACCGAGUGCCAGCAUCAUAUGCUGGCUGUCCAGAUGUGUAAACUACAUCUGUUAGCAAGGGCCGGGCAAGACCGGUGCCAGCCGCCGCGGUAACACCGGCGGCCCGAGUGGUGACCGUUAUUAUUGGGUCUAAAGGGUCCGUAGCCGGUUUGGUCAGUCCUCCGGGAAAUCUGAUAGCUUAACUGUUAGGCUUUCGGGGGAUACUGCCAGGCUUGGAACCGGGAGAGGUAAGAGGUACUACAGGGGUAGGAGUGAAAUCUUGUAAUCCCUGUGAGACCACCUGUGGCGAAGGCGUCUUACCAGAACGGGUUCGACGGUGAGGGACGAAAGCUGGGGGCACGAACCGGAUUAGAUACCCGGGUAGUCCCAGCCGUAAACUAUGCUCGCUAGGUGU
RNAcentral lists this ribosomal RNA (629 nucleotides) under uncultured archaeon. RNAcentral describes it as "bacterial SSU rRNA". It matches the Rfam family "Archaeal small subunit ribosomal RNA", at positions 147 to 774 of the family's 1478-position model. The record is from RNAcentral.